UAUUAAUAAUCUCAUGCAUGCCUCCUUUAAUUUGAUUCAUGCCAAUUAAUUAGCACAUGCAUGCCUCGAUGAUUAACAUGCUUCUUUGGGUCUUUCUUCGUGUUUCAUGCCUGCAUGCUUGUAUCUAAUACUUCAUAUAACGUUAUUGAUAUUGGCGUGUAACACAUUGUUGAGUGGCAUGUGAGACGCUCACAUUCACCGGGUCGCGUGUACGCGUAGGGGUGGCAGGAGUACCAGAACUCGCGGGUAUCCGACCCACCCCUACCCGACCGGGGCAGGUUUAAAUUCGACCCAGAUCCCAGAAACACACACAGCAACCAUCCCUCAUACCCACUUACCCAUAUCACAGAAACACACACAGCAGCCACCUUGCUCACCGUCGUUGCUCAGUUGCUCACCUUGCCGCUCUCCCUCACCGAACUCACUUCGCUUGCACUUCUCUCGUUUGCCGUCACUCUCUUCGCCGCUCGUCUCUUCGAGUUGUGGUCUCCGUUCCCUCCUUCCUCUGUCGUCACGUCACUGGUUUGAAUUUUGACCUCCAAACUUUUAAUGAUGAUGAAGAUGUUGAAAGUGAUCAAGUAUAAGGAUUGAAGACUCUUAUAUUUAAUUAUGUAAUAUUUUUAUUAUGGUGUUAAAUUUGUAGUAAUCAAACAUUAACUUUUUUUACUCUCAAGUUAUUUGA
Molecule: non-coding RNA, 682 nt
Organism: Arachis ipaensis
Lineage: Eukaryota; Viridiplantae; Streptophyta; Magnoliopsida; Fabales; Fabaceae
Source: RefSeq, a predicted model, not a curated record